GGCUGUUCUGAAGGUAGUGAGUUAUCUCACUUGAUUGUUCACAGUCAAUCAGAGAUUGAACUCCUUCUUUCCCCCUUCUCACUACUGCAUUGACUAGUCUUAG
This 103-nucleotide Y RNA is filed under the name Propithecus coquereli (Coquerel's sifaka). RNAcentral's name for it is "Y RNA (ENSPCOG00000008210.1)". It matches the Rfam family "Y RNA". From Rfam's summary of the family: Y RNAs are components of the Ro ribonucleoprotein particle (Ro RNP), in association with Ro60 and La proteins. The Y RNAs and Ro60 and La proteins are well conserved, but the function of the Ro RNP is not known. The record is from Rfam by way of RNAcentral. Lineage: Eukaryota; Metazoa; Chordata; Mammalia; Primates; Indriidae.